Molecule: long non-coding RNA, 297 nt
Filed under: Capsella rubella
Lineage: Eukaryota; Viridiplantae; Streptophyta; Magnoliopsida; Brassicales; Brassicaceae
Description: long non-coding RNA (CRUB_LNC000775)
Source: RNAcentral
UAUGUUUAAUUUGCCAUUGGUUUAUCUUUUAUUCGUCUAGCUUUAGGCAAAUAAAACAAGAAGACCAUAUAUACACAUACAAAGAAAAAAACCAUGCUAAGAAAAAAAAAACAAGUACACACACAUCGUUAGGCCAUGGAAAAAUAUUGAAACCGAUCCGAAACCAAACCUUAAAUUUUUUAAAAUACUUGAACGAAUUCUGAAUUUUAAGACCCGAAAAAUCGAACCCAAACACAAAUUUUUUAACUAAUUGAAUGAGUUCUAAAUUUCAAGACCUGAAAAUCGAACCCAAAUCGA